AACGCACGAGACCUGCGGACCUGCGGAAGGAUCAUUAUAAAAAGUUUUUUUAUACCCCUUUUUUAAUUAAGAAGGGGGGGGUAUAUAAAAUUUUUUUCAACCCUUUGUUUUUUUAGACUUUGUUGCUUUGGUAGGUUUUUUAAAACCUGCCAAAGGAAAUUAUAAAAUUCUUGAAAUUUUGUUGUCCGAGUUUAUAAAAAAAUUUUAAUAAAACUUUCAACAAUGGAUCUCUAGAUCGGA
Molecule: unclassified non-coding RNA, 240 nt
Filed under: soil metagenome
Description: partial contains 5.8S ribosomal RNA, internal transcribed spacer 2, and large subunit ribosomal RNA
Source: RNAcentral